Danio rerio (zebrafish) is the source of this 813-nucleotide non-coding RNA. The record is from RefSeq and is a predicted model, not a curated record. Lineage: Eukaryota; Metazoa; Chordata; Actinopteri; Cypriniformes; Danionidae.
AACAAUUUAAUUUAGUUGUUGAUUUUAUUAAAUUAUUAUUAAUCGGGUUUAAGUGAAUUAGAUGUGUUUUGAACCAAUCUAAAUUAAUUAAUUAAAGUCUAUUAGAAAAAAUUAUGUUAGCUUUGUGCGCAUGCGCGUUAUGUUCCGUUGCCUCGGCGCCAAAGCCCAAAGGAAGGUUUACAGAAUCCAGUCAGAUGGAAGCAAGACGCCAGAGCCGGAUUUCUGUACAUCCAUUUGCACAGUACUGUACAACAAGUUUCCUUUGCUGAGUUCCUUGGUCAGGGGUUUAAACACAUUUUCUGUCCAGUACUGCAGUUGGAAUUUUCCAUCAACAUUUUUAUGUUUUCACAGUACUAGGGUGCAGUAAGAGCACAAACACAGAGUUCAACUUUGAUUCAACUCCGUGAUUCUCUCAAGAGAGCCGAAAAAAAUGUCUGACCUGCCAUAAAAUGAUUCGACUAUCUGCCGACCAAGAGAGGUUAUUCACCUUUUUUUCCUCCUGUACAUUGCAUCAACACAGCACAGCAAAUAUCAAAGUUGAAAUUUAAUUUGAUUCAAAGAAGAGUCGCAUCAGAAUUUGGCUCAAAAUUGCACAAUAGAAAUUCGGCCUUAAGCCUGGUUUGUACUUCUUCGUUGAGUGAUUGGCGUGACCUACUGCGCAUGCCCUGCGUGCAGCUGAGCACUUAUACUUGUGCGCGCUGUUUGUGUUGUUCUACAAUAACACUUACAAAAGCAGUAGGUUUAUAUGUUCCCUCUGUAUGGAGUUUCUUCGCUUGGGUUUUGUUUUUUCUGAACACUACCUUAAUGAACAAG